AACGAACGCUGGCGGCAUGCCUAACACAUGCAAGUCGAACGAGACGUUCGGGUCUAGUGGCGCACGGGUGCGUACCGCGUGGGAACCUGCCCUUAGGUUCGGAAUAACUCACCGAAAGGGGUGCUAAUACCGGAUAAUGUCUUCGGACCAAAGAUUUAUCGCCUUUGGAUGGGCCCGCGUUGGUUUAGCUAGUUGGUAGGGUAAAAGCAUACCAAGGCGACGAUCCAUAGCUGGUCUGAGAGGAUGCUCAGCCACACUGGGACUGAGACACGGCCCAGACUCCUACGGAAGGCAGCAGUGGGGAAUAUUGGAGAAUGGGCGAAAGCCUGAUACAGCAAUGCCGGGUGAGUGAUGAAGGCCUUAGGGUUGUAAAGCUCUUUUACCCGAGAUGAUAAUGACGGUACCGGGAGAAUAAGCUCCGGCUAACUCCGUG
This 433-nucleotide ribosomal RNA is filed under the name uncultured bacterium. RNAcentral describes it as "partial 16S ribosomal RNA". It matches the Rfam family "Bacterial small subunit ribosomal RNA", at positions 29 to 507 of the family's 1533-position model. The record is from RNAcentral.